This 484-nucleotide ribosomal RNA is filed under the name uncultured bacterium. RNAcentral's name for it is "partial 16S ribosomal RNA". It matches the Rfam family "Bacterial small subunit ribosomal RNA", at positions 29 to 507 of the family's 1533-position model. The record is from RNAcentral.
AGUGAACGCUGGCGGCAGGCCUAACACAUGCAAGUCGAGCGGCAGCGCGGGGGCAACCCUGGCGGCGAGCGGCGGACGGGUGAGGAAUUCGUCGGAAUCUGCCUUUUUGUGUGGGAUAACGUAGGGAAACUUACGCUAAUACCGCAUACGUCCUACGGGAGAACGUUGGGGACCGCAAUGCCUCCCGCAGAAAGAUGAGCCGACGACCGAUUAGCUAGUUGGUGGGGUAAAGGCCCACCAAGGCGACGAUCGGUAGCUGGUCUGAGAGGAUGAUCAGCCACACUGGGACUGAGACACGGCCCAGACUCCUACGGGAGGCAGCAGUGGGGAAUAUUGGACAAUGGGCGCAAGCCUGAUCCAGCCAUGCCGCGUGUGUGAAGAAGGCCUUCGGGUUGUAAAGCACUUUUGUCCGGAAAGAAAUCCCUGGAGCUAAUACCUUCGGGGGAUGACGGUACCGGAAGAAUAAGCACCGGCUAACUUCGUG